Non-coding RNA from Zonotrichia albicollis (white-throated sparrow), 6084 nucleotides. The record is from RefSeq and is a predicted model, not a curated record. Lineage: Eukaryota; Metazoa; Chordata; Aves; Passeriformes; Passerellidae.
CACCCUCUGGUUAUGAACCUUUUCCUGAUAUCCAGCCUAAACCUCCCCUGAUGCAGCUUCAUGCCAUUUUCUCAGGUUCUGUCACUGGUCUCAAGAGUGAAGAGAUCACUGUCUGCCCCUCUGCUUUGCCUUGUGAGGAUGUUGAAGAUAAUUACAGCAAGGUCUCCCCUCAGUCUCCUCCAGGCUGAACAGACCACAUGACCUCAGCUGAUCCUCAUACAGCUUCCUCUCAGACCCUUCACCAUCCUCAUGGACCUCCUUUGGAUGCUUUCUCAUAGCUCUGUAUCUUUUUUAUAUUAUGGUGACCAAAACUGCGCACAGCACUUGAGGUUGGUCCUUUUGGAUUGCAGCUCAGUGUCAAUACAAUGGAACAUGCUUUUUAUACAUUAUUUCACAUAUUUUAAUAAUAAAAUUUUAUUUUGUAUAUAUAUACAUUUUUAUAAAUAAGACCUAUACAAUUUGUAUGUCAUGAAUUUGUCUGUGUCCUCUGGAAAAUUUGCUUUAGAAGCUGUUCAAGAAGGAUGGGGAUGUCUUCUGUUUUUCACGGAUUAUUUUACAUACUACAAAGUUUAGAAAGCGUGUGUAGCUUUUGUAGUAUCAGUGCUAAUGGCUCUGAUGUAAAUCUGCCUUGAAAUGGGAUAAACUGCAUUCAAAACUGUACUGAGCCCUGAAAACCAAGAGCUGGGCACCACAAAUGCAGCAUUUCAAGCACGCCUGAGAAAUGAAAUGGAGUAUGGCGCAGUAUUGGGAAUUAUCUGCUGGCGUGUGAACAAAUACAGGCUCCAUCAGGAAAUCCUGCCUUCAAGCCAGUUUUGCUGCUCCACUGGUGAUGUGACAGCUGGACCCACAGGGUUAUUUCUGCCUCUGGCAAGGAGCUUAGAAACAAGGCUGCAGGCAGGUUUCAGAUGCCUGUGAGCUCAGGGCUCCAAGUGCUGAGUUGCACAUCCAGCCUCUGCCGGCGAGUGGAGAAUUUUAUUUUCAGUUCUGUUGAGAUGUAGGAGCACAACCCAAUGCCUGGCUUUGGGCAACUGUACAAGGCUCCCCAAAAAUGCAAGGAAAGAAGGUAUAAAAGAAAGGAAUGCAGUAGGAGCUUGUGCUGGUUUAUUCUGGGAGAAGUUUCCCCCUGCAUCCCCCCCUCCGCCCCCCAGUGCUGCCUUACAGUCGCAUGCUGGGAAUAUUUGUUGCAUAUCCACCUAACUGCUGAUUGACACAUACAAGGCAAUAAACUUAAUUAGUUAAAAUCCCCUAUGUUCUGAUUGACUGCCAAUGUCCAAAGUCCACUAGGAAAGACAUGGGAGAUAACAUUUGUAAGGCGAGGCUAUCUGGGCUUGCAGAGUAUUUUUUCAAUUAAUUUCUGCCUAAGGAUUGGCUGUGAUACUUAUCCACUGGCAAACCUAGUUUCAGAUUUCAGCUUUAAAAUAUAAUUGGCAGCUCAGCAAAUUCAUAAAAUUGAUCCCCAUUCACACUUAUUUUUGGCUUGCGUUAAGAAUGUGCCAACCUGGAACUCUAAACUUAACCCCGAGUGACUUUCCCAGGGCUGCUGCCCUGAAAGGAAAGCCUGGCAGCAGCGCCUGGGCCGCGGCCAAGAUAAAUCCUGAGCCGCCGAUGGCAGAGCAGUCACAGCCUGAACUGCAGGUGAGGGGAGAAUAAAGAGACGGAAUAAAGGGUAAAUUUUGUAAAAUGCGCCCUUUCUGAAACCUGUUAUUGUGCAUUUGUCUCUCAGUGCUCCACGGCCUGACCCUGCUGCGGCCCAGAGCCCGCCCAAGCUGCUGUGAGCCCUGCAGGACCGCCGGACACAAACCGCGGGACGAGGUCGGGCGUGUGUGGCGGGGUAACAGCGCCGCGAUUCCAGCUCGCAGGAAGCUGCUGCAGCCUGAACUGCUGCUGGCAUAGUCCAAGGAAAAACAACUGUACCGGGCUCUUCACAGCCCCUCUGUCUCCAAACUGCACCUGAUGGCUGCCAAAUUCCACCAGGAUGGUGACCUACCUGCAAUGGGGCUGUCUUGUCGAGGGGGUUCCUUCCUCCAGAGUGGGACAAAAACCUUGAUGUCAGUGUGCCCCCUCUCUCGAAACCAAUCGACCGCCAGCUGGAUGCCCCAGCAGGAGAACACCUCCUUGUUUCCAUGACUGUAAAGAAAGAGAGAGGAUGAUGAGGCAAAGCUUUCAUGAAGCUUAGAGUUCUCUUGAACUGAGCCAGUAAUGAAAAGGCAAAAUAAACAGCUUUUGUGUCAUUCACCAGUUUCCAAGAAAACAACUGGCAGGGUGUCCUGGUGGGACAGAUCCAAACAGCUCCUCCAGCAGAGCCAAAGAUUUAUCUGAAACAGUUUGGAUACUUAAAAACAGAGGUAUCCUAUCCCCCAUUUCUGUGAUCCAAGCCUAUUCCUUCCAUCUCUAUCUGGAUGGACUUAAGUUCUAAAGUACCAACAAGAACUUAGGCCUUGUAAAACCCUUCACAUGCCUUGUCUGAAAAAGGUUUGAGGGGUGAGAGUUUCUUCCUGCACAAGCAGAAACCUGUGAGGCUCCUGUGAGAAACAAAAUGUGGGAAUUUUCUUCUGUGGUAACAGGGCUAUUGGAGAUUUUAAUGGCUGAAGGUGUGAUCACAGGGCACUCCACUGGUGAUCUUUUUUGGAAACAUGAGACAAAAUAAGGGGAAAGAAAAAAGGAGAAAGAUAGGAAAUACAGAGAACCAAAAAAGAGACAAGACAUCAGUGGAGAUAGCCACAGGCACCUCAGGCCCACUUUUAUCUUUCUCUAGUUGUUGGAUAUUUUCUUCAUUGCACAGAGAGGUAGGAAAGCCCUAAGACAAGUGUUCUAGAAGUGCCAGCAAGGUGGGUUCUGAAGAAUUCAGACAGAAAAUAACCUCAAGGAAAACAGCUGGGGGUGACAUCCUUCUAAAUGUGCCUAAGCCUGCCUUGAAAGCUCCUACUGCUUGACAUUCACUUAUCUAAAAUUUGACUGCAGCACAGUGUAUGUGUAAAGGAAGGUAGUUUGUUAACCACCUCUGCACAAGGAAAUUAAAAUUUUAAAAUUGGUUAAUUUAAUUAAUUUAAAUUAAUUUAAUUUAAAUUUGUACCCAAAGUCCUAAGUGGAUAAAUGCCUUCACAGUAUCUGCAGAAUGCUCAUCCUCGUACUUUGACUUUUCUGCAUAUCUGCCAGUCUCACUCAGGCUUUCCCUUCUGCAGAGGCCCUUGGGAAUGACUCCCUGCUCCACCCACCUGCACUGGCAGACCAGUCAAGGGUGAUGCCACAGUCUUAAAUGAGUCUCCCACCACCCUCCCAGGGACUCAUCUCUAGGAUCUGUUUACACCAGCCUCAUAAUCAAGGCUGAUUUUACACCCAAUAAAAGUUUCUGUCCUGAAAUGGUGACCACAGAUGAAAAUAACACAAUUUGUAGGAAGAAACCUGGCUGCCUAUCAAGAGCUACCAAGGCAAUAGGAAGUCAUUCAAAACCCUUAGCAAUAAUAAAUGGUCUGAGGUGCUUGACACAUCUAAUCUCCAUUUUAGAGCAGUGUUUUGUUUGGUUUUAAAGGAUGGGAUCCUUCCAGGAUAUUAAUAACAUCAUCUGGACUGCUGAAUUGGAAGUUUGAGUGACUUUUUCAGAUAACUGCCUGUAAAAGGCAGUUCAGGUACAUCUUUGAUGCCAUGACUCAAACAAAGUUCAGCAACAUUUUUCUUAAUUAUUGGCUACUUGUAUGUAUAAUCCCGUGCAGAAAAUGAAGUACUCAAGCACAAGUGGGUCAGCCAAAAGGCCGAGUGGAGCAAGGAAAGUGAGGAACCUGGAACUUGUCAUUAUCAGCUGAUGCAGCUGCUGCCACACUGCUGCAGCCAGAGCUGUGGCUGAACCCCCUGAACCAGUCUGUGCCCGUGUGGGAGCUGCAGGUCCCCACGGAACACCAGGGACUGCUGUGCAAUGGAGCAGAGCCCUCAGAGCUUCCAAUCCUCCCUCUGUGGCACACACUGGCUCCUGCCAGUCACCUUUCCCACAAAACCCCGGAGUCCAUGGGCCAUAACCCGUCCAUGAUCUGUCAUAGCUCAGUCUCAUCUCUGCCUCUUGCCAGCAACAGGGUACACUGCACAGGGUCACAGACCUGCAGGGCCCAUCUCUCAGAAAAUGGAGCAGCAGUUUGGCAUCUCUGUGACUCCAGCAGUUAAUCCAUCAUUAGCAUUCUUUUAAAAUUGUGCCAUUCCAGCUCCCUGGGAGGUAGUUUAGGCAAACCAACUCCUUUUGAAAACUGCAAAUGGCCCAAUCUUCUUGUGAUCAUGACACAAUAUCAGCCAAAGCUUUGUCAGAAAGGCCUAGGAGCAGGCCUCUGUGGCUACCACAGCUUUAAAACUAGGUGUAAGUGCAAGCACUAGGGGAGACAGCAGUGUGCAGUGAAUAUGGUUAUGACACUUCCCUUUUUCUAUUUAUACAACUCCAUUUAUUUUUUCCACCAGCCUUGCUCAACUUCCCAUGGGUAGGCUGGCAGGAGGCAAAAUUUCUCAUUACACCUGAUGGAAACACCAAAUGUACUGAGAUGUCUGAUGAAUGAGACUGGCUGAAGGCAAGGUCAUUUUCCAUUCAGCUUCUCUGGGUAGGCUGACUGAUGGCUGGAGACUGCCCAGCCAGUUGCUUUAUUACCCUGGGGCAUAUUCCUCCUUUUCAAAACCUUGUGUUCUUCAGUGGGCCCUCAAUAUUAAUUCCACAAUGCUCCAGAAACAGCAACCCUAAGAUAUAAAUGUAAAUGCUUGAGAUAUCCUUCUCCACACAGACAACUGCCCAUUGAAGCUCUAACUUCUCUAUUGUUUCAUUCUUGAAUUGCUGCUUCUGCUGCACUUUUAUGGUUGCUGGUAUUGAUGAUAACGGAGUUUUCCCCAGCAAGGGAACCUAACAUCCCAUUCCCCUGACAUCUGCAAACAGUCCCUCUCUGUCAGUCAGCAGCAAACCAGAAAAAUUAAAGCAAGGAUGCUGAAAGCACUGACCAGGCCUACCCCAUUGGCCAAAGCAAGUGUCAUUCAGCACCACUUUGAAAGGCACCCAGGAGAGGAAAGCAGCUGCUCCCUUUCAGUACCAGCUGAACUGACAAGCUCAAUAGUCUCCUCCACCAUCCACAGACUCAUUAUCAAGGCAGAGUUUGGGAUGUCUGAGAAGAGCUGUAAAACCUUUGCCUUUCUGAAACUUAAAGCUGCUGUGCCUGGAGAGCAGAGAACAGAGCCCAGGGCCCACCAUGGGUAAUACUGACCCUGGCACAGUGACAGGGCGGGUGAUGAGCCCAGCCACACUGCCUGAGUGAGGGCUCAGCUCUUUUGCAGAGAGGCAAGAAAGACACCUUGAGGAGGGGCUUGGGUGAAGAGGCAGAGCAGGGCAGGAGAUCCUAACACCUGGCUACCAAGCUCAUGGCCCAGUCAAGGCCAAACAAAUUUGGGCCCAGUCAAGGCCAAACAAAUUUGGGCCCAGUCAAGGCCAAACAAAUUUGCUCUGUUGUGUCUUUCCCACUCCUCGUGAGCUGCCUUGAGCAGGGAACCUCUUGGCUUUGUCUGGGAUUUCUCCCUUCACCCACAAGAUGGCAUAAUUUGCUAGUCUCCGGUUUCUCUGGAUGUGUUUGGCCACUUUUCGCUCCAGCCAGAGGGGAUUUGGUCUCAUCUCAUCUCACAGAAUGGCCAACAGAAGGAGGAAGCCUUCUUUAGCCCUGUCCCAGCCUGCAGGGAUGGGCUUGGCCCUGCUGAGUGGACAGGGAAGUUAAUAGAGAAAACAGAUGGAUAGCCAGUGCAUCCUGGGCUCUUGGCUCUGUAUUGCUUGGAUAAACAGAGGCCAACUCACUGCUGCCUUGGGACAUCCCAUCCAUCCACAGGGACAUGCCAGGCUCCCCACCUCUAAGAGCACUUUGACAGCACCAGGGCUGUGCUCAGGAAAUGUAGUUGGCCAGCAGGGGUUGAUGAGACAUUUCCCAGAAACUGACGGAGGAGGAAAUGAAUCUAUUCAAUACAAGACAACUAUCAAUGCCCUGAUAUUUACCUGAAACAGAAGCCAAAUAGAAAUCCAACAAAAAAAAAAAUAACAUUUUAAAAAAUUUUUUAACAUUUUAACAUAUUUUAACAAAUAAA